AGUCAGAUGUGAACAUGAUCCAGAAACACUGCAGUCUUCUCUGGACCAGAGUUCAUUUAAAAUGGUCUGAGACAAAGUGGAAAACUGUUCUGUGGUCAGAUGGAUGAAAAUGUGAAAUUCUUUCU
Molecule: long non-coding RNA, 125 nt
Organism: Melanotaenia boesemani (Boeseman's rainbowfish)
Lineage: Eukaryota; Metazoa; Chordata; Actinopteri; Atheriniformes; Melanotaeniidae
Exons: 3
Source: RefSeq, a predicted model, not a curated record